Molecule: long non-coding RNA, 1376 nt
Filed under: Oncorhynchus mykiss (rainbow trout)
Lineage: Eukaryota; Metazoa; Chordata; Actinopteri; Salmoniformes; Salmonidae
Description: lncRNA (ENSOMYG00000072931.1)
Source: RNAcentral
AAAAUAUAUUUUGUUUCUGGUCAUGUCAUCAAGCCAAGUGCAUUAGUAUAACAUUUUACGUGGGCUAUUUGUCUACAUCUUUACUCGAGAAAGCUGAUCGACUGAUCAGGCUAUAUUCGCAGAACUGCCGACAUUACUGAAUGUAUAAUACUACUACUAAUACAUACUACUAACAAUACGAUACACAAGUUAAGCUACGUUAUAGCCUAACCUUAAUGUACACAAUGUAAGCCUAAUAAAUAUAUUGUAAUGCACUGGUUCAUUGCUGACCAACAUGGCAACUCCAAUUAUCUUGCUGUCUGUAAAGUUUACGGGACAGGUGUAGUCUGUAGCCUUAGCAAAAUGGUCAUGUUUAGGUAGGCUACCACAGAAUGUCCUUUCCUCAGAGUUGGUAUCACCAGCUAGGAACAUAAAGAUAAUGUCCAUUAGCACCACGGGCCCGCCGAAUGGGAAUAUCCCAUAGCCUAGCCGGCACCUUGUGUACGGGGCUAUCACUGCACUCACUAUAGCCUACAAUCCCUUUCUCGAAUGUUUUUGCACCUGAGGAUACCACGAUUCAGGAGCGAUACAGUAGGAUAUAGCGCGCCACGUAACAAUUCUGCGAUAAACACAGGCUGAAAGCAGUAGCUAGUAGACAAAUGGCUCACCUUUUCGUGAUGUGACCAUACCGGAGGCUUAUUCCCAUGCCAUAGUUUCACUUCAUGAGAAAUAAGAAGAAGACUGUUCACAUUAUUAUAUGCUUUAUCCUCGUGUAUCCUUGGCAAAUAACGCAAUGAUGACGGUUGAGCUACGCUGGCUUCAGUUGAAUAGGCUAUGAUGCUCCGGUGAAUGUGUCGAAGAGAAUGGCAAGACAGCGUUUGAUAUGUAGAGCGGAACGCGUGUGAUUUGCUUUUUUCUAAUGGUUAUGAUUCAACUGUUCAUCUUUAAAAAAAAAUCUUCCCUGGUGGACACAAUCACCAACUCAGCAUCACUGGAAUAUACCAUACACGACAGAGAAGAAGGGGGUGUGGCACCGGUGAGCAAUAAUUUCACCAUCCAACACAGCCAGCCUGACGAGGCCACUGCAUGCUGUGACAUGGACUGGAUGGUGACACAUCUUCUUCAAACUUCCUGAUUGAAUACUGGGGUCUUCAGUGGUUCCAGAAGCAAGGCACUUACCGUGGAGUACAGCCACAUUCUCUUUCUGUCUCACAGCCAUUCUGUCAACAUGUAUUGUAUGUAACCACUCAAAGUCAUGCAAACCUCUACAGAUGUGAGCGCUGACAUAUUCACUCUGUCCAAUUCUUUAAUCUUGUCUGGGAUACACACCGAGUAUAACAAACAUUAGCAACUCCUUCCAAAUAUUGAGUUGAAUCCCCCCCAUUUUGCCCUAAGAA